UCGAGAAUCUUUCACAAUGGGGGCAACCCUGAUGGAGCGACGCCGCGUGGAGGAUAAGGUCUUCGGAUUGUAAACUCCUGUCAUGCGAGAGCAAGGCUUGCAGGCUAACUCCUGCAAGUUUGAUAGUAUCGCAAGAGGAAGAGACGGCUAACUCUGUGCCAGCAGCCGCGGUAAUACAGAGGUCUCAAGCGUUGUUCGGAAUCACUGGGCGUAAAGGGUGCGUAGGUGGCGUGGAAAGUCAGAUGUGAAAUCCGGAGGCUCAACCUCCGAAUUGCAUCCGAUACUCCCAUGCUAGAGAACUGGAGGGGAGUCUGGAAUUCUCGGUGUAGCAGUGAAAUGCGUAGAUAUCGAGAGGAACACUAGUGGCGAAGGCGAGACUCUGGACAGUUUCUGACACUGAUGCACGAAGGUCAGGGGAGCAAACG
This 425-nucleotide ribosomal RNA is filed under the name uncultured Verrucomicrobium sp. RNAcentral describes it as "partial 16S ribosomal RNA". It matches the Rfam family "Bacterial small subunit ribosomal RNA", at positions 355 to 774 of the family's 1533-position model. The record is from RNAcentral. Lineage: Bacteria; Pseudomonadati; Verrucomicrobiota; Verrucomicrobiia; Verrucomicrobiales; Verrucomicrobiaceae.